UGGGGAAUAUUGGACAAUGGGCGCAAGCCUGAUCCAGCCAUGCCGCGUGAGUGACGAAGGCCUUAGGGUUGUAAAGCUCUUUCGUCGGGGACGAUAAUGACGGUACCCGAAGAAGAAGCUCCGGCUAACUUCGUGCCAGCAGCCGCGGUAAUACGAAGGGAGCUAGCGUUGUUCGGAAUCACUGGGCGUAAAGCGCACGUAGGCGGAUAGUUAAGUCAGGGGUGAAAUCCUGGGGCUCAACCCCAGAACUGCCUUUGAUACUGGCUGUCUCGAGGUCGAGAGAGGUUGGUGGAAUUCCUAGUGUAGAGGUGAAAUUCGUAGAUAUUAGGAAGAACACCAGUGGCGAAGGCGGCCAACUGGCUCGAUACUGACGCUGAGGUGCGAAAGCGUGGGGAGCAAACAGGAUUAGAUACCCACGUAGUCCCUGAGCGGGCUGGCAAGGCGCAU
Molecule: ribosomal RNA, 447 nt
Filed under: uncultured bacterium
Lineage: Bacteria
Description: bacterial SSU rRNA
Rfam family: Bacterial small subunit ribosomal RNA
Source: RNAcentral